UUCGGGAGCAGAGUGACAGGUGGUGCAUGGUUGUCGUCAGCUCGUGUCGUGAGAUGUUGGGUUAAGUCCCGCAACGAGCGCAACCCUUGAUCUUAGUUGCCAUCAUUAAGUUGGGCACUCUAAGGUGACUGCCGGUGACAAACCGGAGGAAGGUGGGGAUGACGUCAAAUCAUCAUGCCCCUUAUGACCUGGGCUACACACGUGCUACAAUGGACGGUACAAAGAGCUGCAAGACCGCGAGGUGGAGCUAAUCUCAUAAAACCGUUCUCAGUUCGGAUUGUAGGCUGCAACUCGCCUACAUGAAGCUGGAAUCGCUAGUAAUCGCGGAUCAGCAUGCCGCGGUGAAUACGUUCCCGGGCCUUGUACACACCGCCCGUCACACCACGAGAGUUUGUAACACCCGAAGUCGGUGGGGUAACCUUUUUGGAGCCAGCCGCCUAAGGUGGGACAGAUGAUUGGGGUGAAGUCGUAACAAGGUAGCCGUAUCGGAAGGUGCGGCUGGAUCACC
This 508-nucleotide ribosomal RNA is filed under the name Bacillus cereus. RNAcentral describes it as "bacterial SSU rRNA". It matches the Rfam family "Bacterial small subunit ribosomal RNA", at positions 1019 to 1527 of the family's 1533-position model. Lineage: Bacteria; Bacillati; Bacillota; Bacilli; Caryophanales; Bacillaceae. The record is from RNAcentral.